Molecule: ribosomal RNA, 469 nt
Filed under: uncultured bacterium
Lineage: Bacteria
Description: bacterial SSU rRNA
Rfam family: Bacterial small subunit ribosomal RNA
Source: RNAcentral
AGAGUUUGAUCAUGGCUCAGAACGAACGCUGGCGGCAUGCCUAACACAUGCAAGUCGAACGAGACCUUUCGGGGUCUAGUGGCGUAAGGGUGCGUAACACGUAUGCAAUCUGCCCACAGCCGGGAGAUAGCCCUCCGAAAGGAGGAUUAAUAUCCCAUAGGAAGAUGAGAUGGCAUCAUUUUAUUUUUAAACUACGGGGCUGUGGAUGAGCAUGCGGUUGAUUAGCUAGUUGGCGGGGUAAAGGCCACCAAGGCGAUGAUCAAUAGGGGACCUGAGAGGGUGAUCCCCCACACUGGCACUGAGAUACGGGCCAGACUCCUACGGGAGGCAGCAGUAGGGAAUAUUGGACAAUGGGUGUAAGCCUGAUCCAGCAAUGCCGCGUGAGUGAUGAAGGCCUUAGGGUUGUAAAGCUCUUUUACCCGGGAAGAUAAUGACUGUACCGGGAGAAUAAGCCCCGGCUAACUCCGUG